Molecule: ribosomal RNA, 513 nt
Filed under: uncultured Pseudomonadota bacterium
Lineage: Bacteria; Pseudomonadati; Pseudomonadota
Description: bacterial SSU rRNA
Rfam family: Bacterial small subunit ribosomal RNA
Source: RNAcentral
CGACGCCGCGUGGGUGAAGAAGGCCUGCGGGUUGUAAAGCCCUUUACGGUGGGGAAGAAAAGUCUCGGCUUAAUACGUCGGGACCUUGACGUAACCCACUAAAGAAGCACCGGCUAACUCUGUGCCAGCAGCCGCGGUAAUACAGAGGGUGCGAGCGUUAAUCGGAAUUACUGGGCGUAAAGCGCGCGUAGGCGGCUUUUCAAGUCGAUUGUGAAAUCCCCGGGCUUAACCUGGGAACUGCAGUCGAGACUGUCUAGCUAGAGUAUGGGAGAGGGAAGUGGAAUUUCAGGUGUAGCGGUGAAAUGCGUAGAUAUCUGAAGGAACAUCAGUGGCGAAAGCGACUUCCUGGACCAAUACUGACGCUCAUGUGCGAAAGCGUGGGGAGCAAACAGGAUUAGAUACCCUGGUAGUCCACGCCAUAAACGAUGAGAACUGGAUGUCGGGAGGGUCUGCCUCUCGGUGUCGUAGCUAACGCGUUAAGUUCUCCGCCUGGGGAGUACGGCCGCAAGGUUG